RNAcentral lists this small RNA (161 nucleotides) under Necator americanus (New World hookworm). Its description in RNAcentral is "U1 spliceosomal RNA". The stretch from base 1 to 128 matches the Rfam family "U1 spliceosomal RNA". From Rfam's summary of the family: U1 is a small nuclear RNA (snRNA) component of the spliceosome (involved in pre-mRNA splicing). Its 5' end forms complementary base pairs with the 5' splice junction, thus defining the 5' donor site of an intron. There are significant differences in sequence and secondary structure between metazoan and yeast U1 snRNAs, the latter being much longer (568 nucleotides as compared to 164 nucleotides in human). Lineage: Eukaryota; Metazoa; Nematoda; Chromadorea; Rhabditida; Ancylostomatidae. The record is from RNAcentral.
UAAUUUACCUGGGUGGGGGGAUCUCGCGAUCAAGAAGGCGGGACCCCAAUGGUGAGGCCCAUGCAUUGCAUUUUAGCAAGGGCAGACCUGUGUGGCAGCCUCGAGUUAAGGUUAGCCAACCUCUUACCACGAGUACGCCACUAGCUACGCAUGAGUUCUGU